AGAGUUUGAUCCUGGCUCAGAAUGAACGCUGGCGGCGUGCCUAACACAUGCAAGUCGGAUGUGCCCGCAAGGGUGCAUGGCAGACGGGUGAGUAACGCGUGGGGAACCUACCUUUUUGUGGGGGAUAACGCUCCGAAAGGAGCGGUAAUACCGCAUGAGACCAUGGGCUGGAAUGCCGAUGGUGAAAGCCGGGGAUCGAAAGACCUGGCGCAAGGAGAGGGUCCUGCGUCUGAUUAGCUAGUUGGCGGGGUAACGGCCCACCAAGGCGACGAUCAGUAGCCGGCCUGAGAGGGUGAUCGGCCACACUGGAACUGAGACACGGUCCAGACUCCUACGGGAGGCAGCAGUGGGGAAUUUUGCGCAAUGGGCGAAAGCCUGACGCAGCAACGCCGCGUGGGUGAUGAAGGUCUUCGG
This 414-nucleotide ribosomal RNA is filed under the name uncultured bacterium. Its description in RNAcentral is "bacterial SSU rRNA". It matches the Rfam family "Bacterial small subunit ribosomal RNA", at positions 8 to 421 of the family's 1533-position model. The record is from RNAcentral.